This 1372-nucleotide long non-coding RNA is filed under the name Anas platyrhynchos platyrhynchos (common mallard). RNAcentral's name for it is "lncRNA (ENSAPLG00000027218.1)". Lineage: Eukaryota; Metazoa; Chordata; Aves; Anseriformes; Anatidae. The record is from RNAcentral.
ACUGGAAAUGAAGUUAUUACAAACCAGAAAUUGAAUGCAGUGUUCUGGGUUUUAAAAACAAAUUUCUUUAUUUAUGUUCUGUAAAUGGACAGUUACAGUCUUUUUCUAAGACAGUAAUGAAUUCUUCCUCAUGAGCAUGUCAGCAAACAGAAUAAGCUGAAAACCUCCAGUGACUGCUGUCCAAAUGAAGAGGAAGGAAAGGUUGACAUUUAAUCAUUUCAUAAUGCAAAAUAUAUUUUUUCAUCCUUAAAGACUACCUCUUCAAUAAGGAAUGAAGUAUAGCAAUGCUGUACUCGAUGUACUCCAGGAUACAAUUGAACCUUUUGGCUAUCAAUAUCAUAUCGUAGAAAUAACAUGAAGAGGUUGUCUAUUCCAAGUGCAGUUCUAUUAGGAAAUUGCCUUCACACCAGGAUUUGCAUGUGCGACAGGAUUCAGGAUCGUUAUUUAAUAAUGAACUUUUUUUUUUUCUUUUCCAUUGGAAAUACAGAACAAAUGCCACUUAGCUAUAGUUACAAGAGUUUUUCUAUUGUUUGCUAAUGAUGAUGCUAGUAAUAUCAAGUACUGUGUGCAGUUUUGUGUGUCACAAUAUAGUACAUAAAACUAUUAGAGAACAUCCAAAGAAGAGAGCAUAUUAGAGAGCAUACGAAGAUAGUGAAGGGUCUAGAGGGCAAGACAUAUGCGCAGUAGCUGAGUUCACUUGGUUUGUUCAACUUUGAGAACAGGAGACAGAAGACCUUGUUGCACUCUACAGCUUAGUCACAAGGGGGAGCAGAAGGAGAGGCGCUGAUCUCUUCUGUCUGGUGAUCGGCAAUAGGACCACGGGGAACAACACGAAGCUGUGUCAAGGGAGGUUCACGCUGGCUAAGAGGAAAAGGUUCUUCACUGAGAGGGUGGCCAGGCACUGGAACAGGCUCCCCAGGGCAGUGAUCACAGCACCAAUCCUGACGGAGUUCAAGAAAUGUUUGGGCAAUGCUCUCAGACAUAUGUUCUGAUGUUUAGGGAGUCCUGUGUGGAGUCAGGAGUUGGACUCAAUGAUCCUUGUGAGUUCCUUCCUACUCAGGAUAUUUUUUUAUUCUAUGAUUCUGCUUUCUUGGAGUCUAAUAUGUUAUUUAAAAAAUAAUAUAUAAGAUUUAUUUAAUUAAUAACUCUGUCUUCAUUUUCAGAAAAAUCAUAUAAUACUGCUUUCAUAAGUAUCAAAUACAUUAGGAACAAGAGUCAAUGCAAAACUACUGGACUUCAAGUUGUAUUUGCAUGCAUAUCAGAUUGGCCACGGCAUUGUAGUCUACAACUAAUCUGGACAAAUUCAAUCUCAGGGGCUGAACAUAUUUCUUUUAACAUAUAUAUCUGAAUUAAUUUCACAGAAUCACAUAAU